RNAcentral lists this ribosomal RNA (253 nucleotides) under uncultured bacterium. RNAcentral's name for it is "partial 16S ribosomal RNA". It matches the Rfam family "Bacterial small subunit ribosomal RNA", at positions 524 to 776 of the family's 1533-position model. The record is from RNAcentral.
UACGUAGGGUGCGAGCGUUAAUCGGAAUUACUGGGCGUAAAGCGUGCGUAGACGGUUAUUUAAGUCGGGUGUGAAAGCCCCGGGCUCAACCUGGGAAUUGCAUUCGAGACUGAAUAGCUAGGGUACGGUAGAGGGAAGCGGAAUUUCCGGUGUAGCGGUGAAAUGCGUAGAUAUCGGAAGGAACAUCAGUGGCGAAAGCGGCUUCCUGGACCAGUACCGACGUUCAGGCACGAAAGCGUGGGGAGCAAACAGG